This 301-nucleotide ribosomal RNA is filed under the name uncultured bacterium. RNAcentral's name for it is "partial 16S ribosomal RNA". It matches the Rfam family "Bacterial small subunit ribosomal RNA", at positions 509 to 807 of the family's 1533-position model. The record is from RNAcentral.
CAGCCGCCGCGGUAAUACAGAGGAUGCAAGCGUUAUCUGGAAUGAUUGGGCGUAAAGCGACUGUAGGUGGCUUUUCAAGUCUGCAGUCAAAUCCCAAGGCUCAACCCUGGACAAGCGGUGGAAACUACCAAGAUGGAGUACGGUAGGGGCAGAGGGAAUUUCCGGUGGAGCGGUGAAAUGCGUAGAUAUUAGGAAGAACACCAGUGGCGAAGGCGACUUUCUGGACGAAAACUGACGCUGAGGCGCGAAAGCCAGGGGAGCGAACGGGAUUAGAUACCCCCGUAGUCCCUGUCUCUUAUAC